CCUACGGGAGGCAGCAGUGGGGAAUAUUGCGCAAUGGGCGAAAGCCUGACGCAGCGACGCCGCGUGAGGGAUGAAGGUCUUCGGAUCGUAAACCUCUGUCAGCAGGGAAGAACGGUCACUGUGCUAAUCAGCAGUGAAUUGACGGUACCUGCAAAGGAAGCACCGGCUAACUCCGUGCCAGCAGCCGCGGUAAUACGGAGGGUGCGAGCGUUAAUCGGAAUUACUGGGCGUAAAGCGCUCGUAGGCGGUAUGUCAAGUCAAGGGGGAAAUCCCCGCGCUCAACGUGGGAACUGCCUUUGAAACUGGCAAACUGGAGAGUGUGAGAGGAUAGUGGAAUGCCAGGUGUAGGAGUGAAAUCCGUAGAUAUCUGGAGGAACAUCAGUGGCGAAGGCGACUAUCUGGCACAUAACUGACGCUGAGGAGCGAAAGCGUGGGUAGCAAACAGGAUUAGAUACCCCUGUAGUC
Molecule: ribosomal RNA, 465 nt
Filed under: uncultured bacterium
Lineage: Bacteria
Description: partial 16S ribosomal RNA
Rfam family: Bacterial small subunit ribosomal RNA
Source: RNAcentral